Molecule: small RNA, 68 nt
Rfam family: ASdes TB sRNA
Source: Rfam
AGGGCCACCGGGUCGACCCCGCGGGUGACGACGAGGUAGUCGCGGAUCACGAUGCCGUGCCGGUUCUC